Molecule: non-coding RNA, 114 nt
Organism: Acanthosepion pharaonis
Lineage: Eukaryota; Metazoa; Mollusca; Cephalopoda; Sepiida; Sepiidae
Source: the annotation of a GenBank genome assembly
UUACGGCCACAUCGCGUUGAAGCAUCGGUUCCUGUACGAUCAACGAUAUUAAGCAAUGUCGGGUCUGGUCAGUAUUUAGAUGGGUGAACCCUUAGGGAUACCAGGUGCUGUAAU